This 248-nucleotide ribosomal RNA is filed under the name uncultured bacterium. RNAcentral describes it as "partial 16S ribosomal RNA". It matches the Rfam family "Bacterial small subunit ribosomal RNA", at positions 15 to 244 of the family's 1533-position model. The record is from RNAcentral.
GAUCAUGGCUCAGGAUGAACGCUGGCGGCGUGCUUAACACGUGCAAGUCGAACGAAGCAUUUUAAAAAUGAGACUUCGGUGGAUUUUUAAAAUGACUGAGUGGCGGACGGGUGAGUAACGCGUGGGCAACCUGCCUUACACAGGGGGACAACAGUUAGAAAUAGCUGCUAAUACCGCAUAAGCGCACAGUACCGCAUGGUACCGUGUGAAAAACUCCGGUGGUGUAAGAUGGGCCCGCGUUGGAUUAG